CCUGGGCUGCUGGCUUUCCAGCCGCCAAGCCCAGUAUUUGAACUGCUGAGCCACCAUGCUACCCCAUUACAUUAUAAUGUUCUAAAUCAUUAAUUUUAACUGACAACUUACAUCAAUCUAUACAUUGCAUAAAUAUAAAUUAAUUUAUAUUAGCAGACAUCUCACCAGCUCAACGUUGACUCACCUUUCCAAGGUCAGUAAAAUGAGGACCCAGAUUGUUUGGGGGCAAUAUGCUGAUUCUGUAAACCGCUUAGAGAGGGCUGUAAAGCACUGUGAAGCGGUAUAUAAAUCUAAGUGCUAUUGCUAUUGCUAUCUUAAGCUUUCCAGAUGGCACAUGAGUUAUUUUAACUAAAAAUGUGGUUAAUUAAAAAAACCCCACCAUGCUAAAAAAUAGUGAUUAUUUAGCCUCAAGAAUCUUCGAAGCUAAAUGAUCAAAACGAGGAGUGCCAAUCUUGAAAACAAAUGUGGCAUGAAAUUUAACGGAGCCUUGCUUAAUAGGAACUGUCUGUUGCUCUUCCCUGUUUAGAUGCUUCUGUGGAAAUAGGUCUACAAUAUGUAGCCUUUGCUAGUGUCCUUGAACAGCUAACAAAAUCUGUACUUCAACUUGAUUAAAGAAACAUACUGCCUUGGAUUGAAUUUAGAAUGUAUAGAGUAUUGUACUCAGAAGAUUACUGAACUAGAGGAUAGCCAUGACAAAAAUUGGAGCACAGUCUAAUUUGGCAACAUCAUCUUUCCAGUCAGAUAGUUUUCCAGCCAUUAUGCCAGGCACUGAGCUUUAGGCUUUCUCUUGGAUUGUCAUUCCAUCACAGUAAAAGUGUUGGCUCAGAGCUACAAAGUCAUCUGCUCUGGAGUCUAACUUGCUUUGAUUUAUUUUGUCUUUAGAUGACACUUCACAUGAAAAGAGCAGAUGGUGAAAGGGAACACCAGCUUCCUUUAUGUGACAACAAAUCAGAAAACGGCAAAGAAUUACUUGCAGCAAAACAGGAGAAAUCUAUUUUAUUUUCAUUUGAGCUAAGAUCUACUCAAGCUCUUCAGGCGAUUGUGACUAUUUUUUUAAUGUGUCAGCAGAGGGGCACCUUAAGUGGAAACCAUAUAUCCCCUAGGUCCCUAAUUCUGCUUCAGAAAUGAUUAUAGUUUUAUUAUUCAUGUACAAAUAUGGCAGUACCAGAUAAAUGAAGUAUCACCAAUUAUUCAAUUUAUGAAAAUAUGCCAACUCUGCCAGGCUUCCUGUUUGUUCGUUCUAUAUUUUCUUCAACAGAGAUUAGGGCACAUUCGCUAAUAGGGGUGCCCUACAGAUUUGUGGCCUUCAAUUUUUAGGAUUACUUAGCACACAUGAUCAUGGUUGAGAAUUCUUGGAGUCUAUGUGUCUAUUUGGGAUAUUGUCCACCCACAAUAUCAGACUUUUUUGAUCCAAAAAUGGUAGUUUUUCGUAAAUUCAAAUUGCAACAUGACCAUGUCAUUUAAAAUAGUAGUUAGAACUUAGCACUGGUCCUUAGAAACCCAGAAAACAAAGUUUUUUUUACUUUUUUAAUGCUAGCGAUAUUCACUGUUAUUAGUUAUGCUAAAAAAUAACACAAAAAUAGGAGAAAAAAAAUAUUUUCCCUUCUAUGCAGUAUCAUCAACAAAUUCAUAUUUGCCACAAUAGUAGAGCAGGGAAUUUCAAUCACAGCCUAAAUAUAGCAAUUUACACCGAUACACAAAUGAGCUAUGACUGCUCGCCUAUUAAAGAUAAAGGCUCCCCUCGCACAUACGUGCUAGUCGUUCCUGACUCUAGGGGGCGGUGCUCAUCUCCGUUUCAAAGCCGAAGAGCCAGCGCUGUCUGAAGACGUCUCCUUGGUCAUGUGGCCGGCAUGACUCAACGCCAAAGGCGCACGGAACUCUGUUACCUUCCCACCAAAGGACAUAGGAAAAGGAAAAUAUAAAGAAAACAACAGUCCUGAAGUUCAUGUACAAUCCUGAAACCAACUUUCUACUUGGAACACGCUGACAUCACUGCAAUAUCAGAUGCAGGGAAUGGGUCUCCGCAUUCCCUGUGCUGAGUUCUCCCUGUUUGUGGGCUCCAAGAGAAGCCAAAGUCGCCUUGUAGGGGUGGCGAACCUAAGGACGGGCGCCCUGAGAGGUUGUGGGAGAGAUCGCAACUCUCCUGCUGAACCCCGGCCUUUUUUUCCUCUAUGCCACAGCAAGGAGAAGAGGCAGCCUAAAGAUGGCUGCCAUGAAGCUGAAACAACCAAGAAACGUCUAAGAACUGUACUGGAGCGGAGUCGGUGAACUGGGUGAGAAGAAUCCUUUUUAUUUAAAACUCAACUCCAAAGAAUAUCCAAGAAAAGAGAGGCCCACUUCUAUUUUUAAAAGUAGCGAUUUAACAUUUUGAGAAGAAUUUCAAAAUUGAAAGAAUAGGAAUCAAACGGAGAAAGGCAAAAACCUUUAAAAAUACAGAAAAUUGAAUUUUUAAAUUGGACAGGCAUUGUUAUUAUUAUUAUUAUUAUUAUUUAUUCGAUUUUUAUACCGCCCUUCUCCCGAAAGACUCAGGGCGGUGUACAGCCAAAAUAAAACAAGCAAUACAAUAUACAAUUAAAACCUGAAUUAAAAAACUUAUUACACCAUUGGCCUAAGACUUUAAAACAUAUAAAACUAAAAAAAAACCAUUAAAAUUCAUAGGAAAAAUUUAAAAACCCAAUAAAAACCCAAUAAAAUUUAAGCCAGCCCCGCGUGAAUAAAUAGAUGUGUUUUCAAUUCGCGGCGAAAGGUCCAAAGGUCAGGUAUUUGGCGUAAACCAGGGGGAAGUUCGUUCCAGAGGGUAGGAGCCCCCACAGAGAAGGAUCUUCCCCUGGGGGCCACUGGCCGACAUUGUUUGGCGGACGGCACCCUGAGAAGUCCCUCUCUGUGUGAGCAUACAGGUCGGUGGGAGGCAUGCAGUAACAGUAGGCGGUCCCAUAAGUACCCAGGCCCUAAGCCAUUUUGUUUUGGAUAAGCAUUUUAAAAUGCUGGAACUAUUUACUUAAAAAACUAAUAUCUUUUUUUUUUUUUUUUGGAAUUGUUUACCAUUAAAAUUGGAUAAAACUGGUUAAUAUUGAAAUUUGACCUAAGAGUGCCACCUGCUGACAAAAGGAAGGCAUAACAUAUUCCCAAAAUCUUGGAAAUACUUGACUAUUGGAGAUUUAAACGUGAGAAUAAGAAAGACACUAUUAUUAACAUGACCCCUGAAAACUACAACACAAGACUGAAUUUAUAGAGGGACUUAUGGAGGUUCUGGAAAAAAUUCUUGAGACUAUCCAGAGGAACAGGUCGAUCAGCUUUGGGAUAUAAAGAUUCAUGAAUAUUGAACUUUUUAAGAAGUGACUUUAGGUUUGAAUAUAUGGUUUUUGGAUUAUUGGAUAAAAGAUGGACAAAAUAAAACUAAGCGAGAUGCUCCACCAGCAAGAAAAGAGUGGAAUUUGGGGAGAAACGGUGCCAUUAAUUCAAAGUAUUUUAAUACUUUAACAAGAAGCUACAAGGAGAUUAUGAAUAAAAUGCAGAUCAUAGAUAGAGAGCUGGAAAACAUGAUACAGAGGACAAGGAGUGACCAAGACGCCCAGGAAGAGGAGGAGUGAAUUGAAAGAUUAGAUGAAAAAACAGAACAGAAAAGCCAACAAAUAAAAUGAGAUGACAAGCAGGAGAUAACUACAAAAACAACAAUGAUUGAUGAAAUAAGCUUUUUUUUUUUGAAGAGAGAUAGGGGCAAGAGUAGAUAUUUUGAAAAUUAGACAAUGGAAUAGGGCAGAGAAGGGAGAAAUGUUUAAAAUGAUGGGUCAAGAUAGAGACAAAGAUCCAAGAGAGGAAUAUGGGAGGCAAACUAAGAAAAGAACAAUUAAAGCUUUAAAGCGGGCAAGCAACGAUGGCUAGAAAGGGAAUAUUUUUAAAUAUAAUAAUGGAAUAAUUAAAAGUUAGAAUAGGGAUGCAAACUAAAGAGGGGGAUUAAUGUAAUUCACAUUUCUAUAAAAUAAGGUGAAGUAAUAACAAGAGGGGAAAUCAGAAAUUGAAUGAUGGUAUUAUCAAGUAUGCUUGAAUAAUAUGGUGACUGGCAUAAAUACAACAUAUUGAAAUAUUGAAUAAUUAAAUAAUAGAAGAUUGUAAUUUAACAUAAAUAUGUGUAUUAUUAAAACCAUAUAAGCUUGCUAAAUGUAAUAAAUAUGAUUAAUAAUAUUUUAUUUGUAGUAAAAGGAAUGACACUCAGAAUAUGGUGAUUAGCAUAAAAAUAACAUAUUGAAAUAUUGAAUAAUUAAAUAAUGAAAGAUCAUAACUUAACAUAAAUAUGUGUACUAUUACCAGAAUUACAUAAGCUUGUCAAACAUAGUAAACAUGAUGAAUAUUAUUUUAUUUGUACUAAAAUGUAAGACACUCGA
Long non-coding RNA from Ahaetulla prasina, 4382 nucleotides. RefSeq lists it as uncharacterized. Lineage: Eukaryota; Metazoa; Chordata; Lepidosauria; Squamata; Colubridae. The record is from RefSeq and is a predicted model, not a curated record. The transcript has 4 exons.